UACAGAGGGUGCGAGCGUUGUCCGGAAUCACUGGGCGUAAAGGGCGCGUAGGUGGCGCUGCAAGUCGGUGGUGAAAGCUCGUCGCUUAACGGCGAGUCGGCCAUCGAAACUGCAGGGCUCGAGCACUGUAGGGGCUAAUGGAAUUCCGGGUGUAGCGGUGGAAUGCGUAGAGAUCCGGAAGAACACCAGUGGCGAAGGCGGUUAGCUGGGCAGUUGCUGACACUGAGUGCGACGCAGUGGAGGGAACAACGAUGAUAACCGGAACGUCG
This 269-nucleotide ribosomal RNA is filed under the name uncultured bacterium. Its description in RNAcentral is "partial 16S ribosomal RNA". It matches the Rfam family "Bacterial small subunit ribosomal RNA", at positions 524 to 790 of the family's 1533-position model. The record is from RNAcentral.